Gallus gallus (chicken) is the source of this 1559-nucleotide long non-coding RNA. Lineage: Eukaryota; Metazoa; Chordata; Aves; Galliformes; Phasianidae. The record is from Ensembl.
GGUGGGUUGGGGGGGGGGAACACACUCAUAUUUUUCCAGCUCUCCGCUAUUUUUAACUGCUCUCCAAAGGCCCGUGGAGAUAUUUGGGAGCUGGCAGGGUGCUCCGGCCGUGUGAACGUGCCUGACCUCCUCCUCCUCCUUGCUAUAGCAUUGGGGAGGAGGGUGGGAGAAGCAGGCUCCCGGCCCCCAGCUCAGCCCCCACUUCCUGACCCCUCCAAAUCCCACUGCAACAGCACGGCCACCGUGGGAAACAGCCACAGUGUUCUGGAGGAGAGGGGAAUGGGGGCAUCUGUGGGAACAAGGAUGGGAACAGGGAUGGAAACUGGAAGGGGAAUGGGAUGGAAAUGGGAAGGGGGAAUGGGAAUAGGAAGGGGAACAGAGUGGGAAUGAGGGCACGAAUGGGAAAAGGGAGGGCAAUGGGAAUGGGGAUGGGGACACGAAUGGGAAUACGGAUGGGAAAGGGAAUGGGGGGUGGGAAGGGGAACGUGAUCAGGGAUGAAGACGUGGAAUGGAAGGAGAAUGGGGAUAGGAAAAAGAACGGGAUGCGGAUGGGAACAAGAGAAGGAAGGGAAAUGUAAAUACGGAUGGGAAUGGGAACUGGGAUAAGGAUGAGAAGGGAAAGGGCUCAGCUCCUGGCAUUGACUUUAUCACUUUUAUUUCCACUGUGAGGACGGAGCUGAGAUGCAGCCCACAUCCAGACCCAGGGUGGGGCGGAAGCCUCACCCCCCCCUGCCCCCCCCCAGCUCAUUCCUGGGGAAGGACGGGCAGGGCUGGCCUGAGCCCUCGUUAACCUCGCGCUCAAUGGCCAAGUGUAUCCCAUUAUAGCCAAGCCUAUCCCAUAAUAGCCAAACCCAACCCAUAACGGGCCCCAGGAAGGCCCCAAUGGUUCCCUAUAGUCCCACCCACGCAUCUUUGGAUCCCUAUAAGCACCUACCCCCCCUCCAACAAGCCCCUUUUGCUCCUGCAUCCCCCUCACCUCUACAGCUCUCAUACCCCAACCCAGACCCCUACAUGCUCUUUGUGCCCCUAUAGCUCCCCCAGACUCCCACAGCCAUCCUAUUAAAUCCCUAUUGCUCCCCCAGACUCCUAUAGGCUCCUCAUGCCCACAUGGCACUCUCAGACCCCUAUAGCCAUCCUAUAGCCCCUACAGCUUCCCUCAGACCACUAUAUCUUCCCUACUGCCUCUAUACCCUCCCCUAUAAGCUCCCUGAAGCCCUACAGGUCCCCCCAAAACCCUCUAUCUCUCCCCAUAGCCCCCCCCAUACCCAUCCAAUGGACCCUAUAGCUUCCCUCAGUACCCCUAUAGCUCCCAUAUAGGCUCCCUGGAUCCCCAUAACUUUCCCAAGACCCCUAUAGCCAUCCUAUAGCUUUACUCAGACCACUACAUCUCCCCUAUUUCCCCUACACCUUCCCCUAUAAGCUCCCUGAAGACCCACAGGUCCCCCCAAACCCACCCAUCUCUCCCUAUAGCCCCCCCCAUACCCAUCCUAUAGCUCCGAUAGCCCCCCUAUAGCCCCCCAUAGCCAUCCUAUAGCCCCCCAUAGCCAUCCUAUAGCCCC